RNAcentral lists this long non-coding RNA (1084 nucleotides) under Felis catus (domestic cat). Its description in RNAcentral is "lncRNA (ENSFCAG00000046667.2)". Lineage: Eukaryota; Metazoa; Chordata; Mammalia; Carnivora; Felidae. The record is from RNAcentral.
GACGAGUCCAAACCAUGAUUUUGAGUGAAACUCUCUCUGACAUGGUAAGUUACACGUUGUUUAAAGACUAUUAUUGCCUUAGUUUAUGAUAAAACUGGUUUUAAAAACUGUUGAAGCUGUUGGCUGAUGAUGCAUUCCUUCCAGAGAUGAAAUUUACCCCCAGAGUGAAUUGCAAUAAAGACACAGUACCAGCCAUUUGAUGUAUCGCUAGUGAACUUGCAGUAAGCUGGAUGUCACUUGAAACCUCUUCCAUGGGAACCACAUGAGCUAUCGAUUGUUUACCUCUGCCAUACCUCUAACAGUUAGAUAUUUCCUUGAUUGCCCAAAGAGGAAGAUGUGGAGAUAAAUUGUCUGUUUACUGAGAUAUAUAAAACUAAUAUUCUCUCUUUCCUUGUCCUUGCUUCUUCCAUCCAGCUAUAUGUUCCUGUGAGGUCUCCCCAGCUAACUCACCAAUAAUUCCAUGUAUGGAAGGAAGACAGAUAAGGGUAACUGGAUUUGGUGUCUUCCUGGGAAUAUUGACACUGUAAGCCUUUACCCCAGAGGAAGCUGGUGCUGCUUGUGGGGAAGCCCUUUGCACAGCCACGUAGCCCUGUGAAACACUUGAUUCCGCCGAACUGUGUGCAUGGUGAGUGAAAAAGACUCAUUUUCUCCAUAGACCCAGUUGCCUUCACAAUGCUUUCCUUUGCCUUAGCUCUGAUGACAUUUUGAGAAAUUGAAGAAAGUAGGCGUGGAGCAGAAGUCUUCACCCUUUUCUCGUUGCCACCUCCCCCUUCUUUUCUAGACAUGAUAAACGAGCCAGGUUUCACCGGCUAAAAAUCUAUGAAAACAUAGUCUCCAGCACCCUGCUACAACUUUGAUUAUGUUGCUUAAUGUUGUUUGUUCAUAACACCAGCGUGACUAUGACAAGGACAUAAACUCGCCAAAUAACUGAAAUAUUAAAAAUAUUACUACUUUGCCUUUACGCACCUGCUGGCAAAUCUUCUCAAGCCCUUUCCAGAAUUUUUUUUUUUACAUAGCUAUGUGUAGAUGACCAUCAUUUCUUCUUGUUUUGUCUGCUUAGUCUCUCCAGCAAGUCCUCUCAUCU